RNAcentral lists this ribosomal RNA (305 nucleotides) under uncultured bacterium. RNAcentral's name for it is "bacterial SSU rRNA". It matches the Rfam family "Bacterial small subunit ribosomal RNA", at positions 335 to 657 of the family's 1533-position model. The record is from RNAcentral.
AUCCUACGGGGGGCAGCAGUGGGGAAUAUUGCACAAUGGGGGAAACCCUGAUGCAGCGACGCCGCGUGAAGGAAGAAGUAUCUCGGUAUGUAAACUUCUAUCAGCAGGGAAGAAAACAGACGGUACCUGACUAAGAAGCCCCGGCUAACUACGUGCCAGCAGCCGCGGUAAUACGUAGGGGGCAAGCGUUAUCCGGAUUUACUGGGUGUAAAGGGGGCGCAGACGGCGAUGCAAGCCAGGAGUGAAAGCCCGGGGCCCAACCCCGGGACGGCUCUUGGAACUGCAUGGCUGGAGUACAGGAGGGG